Molecule: ribosomal RNA, 253 nt
Filed under: uncultured bacterium
Lineage: Bacteria
Description: partial 16S ribosomal RNA
Rfam family: Bacterial small subunit ribosomal RNA
Source: RNAcentral
UACAGAGGUCUCAAGCGUUGUUCGGAUUCAUUGGGCGUAAAGGGUGCGUAGGCGGCGAGGCAAGUCGGAUGUGAAAUCCCGGGGCUCAACCCUGGAACUGCAUUCGAUACUGCCUUGCUCGAGGACUCGAGAGGAGAUUGGAAUUCACGGUGUAGCAGUGAAAUGCGUAGAUAUCGUGAGGAAGACCAGUGGCGAAGGCGGAUCUCUGGAGAGUUCCUGACGCUGAGGCACGAAGGCCAGGGUAGCAAACGGG